AACUUUCGACAACGGAUCUCUUGGCUCUCGCAUCGAUGAAGAAAGCAGCGAAAUGGGAUAAGUAAUGUGAAUUGCAGAAUUCAGUGAAUCAUCGAAUCUUUGAAUGCACCUUGCGCCCUUUGGCCAUUCCGAAGGGCAUGCCUGUUUGAGUAUCAUGAACACCUCAACUCAUCAUGGUUUUCAAUGAUGAGAUUGGACUUUGGGGGUUCUGCUGGCCUACGGUCAGCUCCUCUAAAAUAGAUCAGCUUACCAGUGUUUGGUGGGUAUCAUGGGUGUGAUAACUAUCUACGCUUAUGGUUUUUCCACCAGAUAACCUUCAGCAGUGGAGGUUCACUGGAGCUCAUAGACGUCACUCCUCAGUGAGGACAGCCCUUUGAAUGUUUGAUCUCAAAUCAGGUAGGACUACCCGCUGAACUUAAGCAUAUCAAUAAGCGGAGGCU
This 440-nucleotide unclassified non-coding RNA is filed under the name uncultured Thelephoraceae. RNAcentral's name for it is "sequence contains ITS2". The stretch from base 1 to 155 matches the Rfam family "5.8S ribosomal RNA". Lineage: Eukaryota; Fungi; Basidiomycota; Agaricomycetes; Thelephorales; Thelephoraceae. The record is from RNAcentral.